GAUGAAGAACGCAGCGAAAUGCGAUACGUAAUGUGAAUUGCAGAUUUCAGUGAAUCAUCGAAUCUUUGAACGCACAUUGCGCCCGCCAGUAUUCUGGCGGGCAUGCCUGUCCGAGCGUCAUUUCAACCAUCAAGCCCCGGGCUUGUGUUGGGGACCUGCGUCCGACGCAGGCCCUGAAAACCAGUGGCGGGCUCGCUGUCCACACCGAGCGUAGUAACUAACCUCGCUAUGGAGUGGCGCGGGCGCCUGCCGUAAAACCCCCAAUUUCACAAGGUUGACCUCGGAUCAGGUAGGAAUACCCGCUGAACUUAAGCAUAUCAAUAAGCGGAGGA
Molecule: unclassified non-coding RNA, 332 nt
Filed under: soil metagenome
Description: partial contains 5.8S ribosomal RNA, internal transcribed spacer 2, and large subunit ribosomal RNA
Rfam family: 5.8S ribosomal RNA (bases 1-120)
Source: RNAcentral